Molecule: ribosomal RNA, 297 nt
Filed under: uncultured bacterium
Lineage: Bacteria
Description: partial 16S ribosomal RNA
Rfam family: Bacterial small subunit ribosomal RNA
Source: RNAcentral
GGAUUAGAUACCCUGGUAGUCCACGCCGUAAACGAUGAUAACUAGCUGCUAGGGCCCACAGGGCUUUGGUGGCGCAGCUAACGCAUUAAGUUAUCCGCCUGGGGAGUACGGUCGCAAGAUUAAAACUCAAAGGAAUUGACGGGGGCCUGCACAAGCGGUGGAGCAUGUGGUUUAAUUCGACGCAACGCGCAGAACCUUACCAGCGUUUGACAUCCUGGUCGCGGAUUUCAGAGAUGAAUUCCUUCAGUUCGGCUGGACCAGUGACAGGUGCUGCAUGGCUGUCGUCAGCUCGUGCCG